This 119-nucleotide ribosomal RNA is filed under the name Pteropus alecto (black flying fox). The record is from RNAcentral. Lineage: Eukaryota; Metazoa; Chordata; Mammalia; Chiroptera; Pteropodidae.
GUCUACGGCUAUGCCACCCUGAACAUGCCCAAUCUUGUCUGAUCUUGGGAGCUAAGCAGGGUCAGGCCUGGUUAGCACUUGGAUGGGAGACCACCUAGGAAUACUAGGUGCUAUAGGCA